RNAcentral lists this long non-coding RNA (206 nucleotides) under Gossypium barbadense (sea-island cotton). RNAcentral's name for it is "long non-coding RNA (GBAR_LNC001368)". Lineage: Eukaryota; Viridiplantae; Streptophyta; Magnoliopsida; Malvales; Malvaceae. The record is from RNAcentral.
AAUUAUAUACAUUCAAUUCAACAAUUACAAGUAUAGAAAAGUUCGAUUCUAAUUAUACAAACUUACCUCGUAACCUUAGAUAAAACUAUCGGCUAUUCAUCGAUCUUUCCUUUUCCCUGAUCUAAACUUGAUCUCGGCUUAUCUUGAUCUAUAUUAUAUCAAAUUAACUCAUUCAAACUUUCAUUCAAUUCAAUUUAGCCUAAAAC